Molecule: ribosomal RNA, 465 nt
Filed under: Vreelandella stevensii
Lineage: Bacteria; Pseudomonadati; Pseudomonadota; Gammaproteobacteria; Oceanospirillales; Halomonadaceae
Description: partial 16S ribosomal RNA
Rfam family: Bacterial small subunit ribosomal RNA
Source: RNAcentral
CCUACGGGUGGCAGCAGUGGGGAAUAUUGGACAAUGGGGGGAACCCUGAUCCAGCCAUGCCGCGUGUGUGAAGAAGGCCCUCGGGUUGUAAAGCACUUUCAGUGAGGAAGAACGCCUGGUGGUUAAUACCCAUCAGUAAAGACAUCACUCACAGAAGAAGCACCGGCUAACUCCGUGCCAGCAGCCGCGGUAAUACGGAGGGUGCGAGCGUUAAUCGGAAUUACUGGGCGUAAAGCGCGCGUAGGUGGCUUGAUAAGCCGGUUGUGAAAGCCCCGGGCUCAACCUGGGAACGGCAUCCGGAACUGUCAAGCUAGAGUGCAGGAGAGGAAGGUAGAAUUCCCGGUGUAGCGGUGAAAUGCGUAGAGAUCGGGAGGAAUACCAGUGGCGAAGGCGGCCUUCUGGACUGACACUGACACUGAGGUGCGAAAGCGUGGGUAGCAAACAGGAUUAGAUACCCCGGUAGUA